RNAcentral lists this ribosomal RNA (254 nucleotides) under uncultured bacterium. RNAcentral describes it as "partial 16S ribosomal RNA". It matches the Rfam family "Bacterial small subunit ribosomal RNA", at positions 524 to 776 of the family's 1533-position model. The record is from RNAcentral.
UACGUAGGGGGCAAGCGUUGUCCGGAUUUAUUGGGCGUAAAGAGCGUGUAGGCGGCUUGGUAGGUCCGCUGUGAAAACUCGAGGCUCAACCUCGAGAUGUCGGCGGAAACCACUUGGCUAGAGUCCGGAAGAGGAGAGUGGAAUUCCCCGGUGUAGCGGUGAAAUGCGCAGAUAUCGGGAAGAACACCUAUGGCGAAGGCAGCUCUCUGGGACGGUACUGACGCUGAGACGCGAAAGCGUGGGGAGCGAACAGG